UAAGAUUAUAUUUAAGGUAAUGCCUGCCCAGUGCUAAAGUGUUAACGGCCGCAGUACCUUGACUGUGCUAAGGUAGCAUAAUCAGUUGGCUUUUAAAUGGAGUCGGGAAUGAAUGGAUUUAUAGGGUAAAGCUGUCUCUUUUAUAUUUUAUUGAAUUUAAUUAUUAGGUGAAAAUACCUAAAAUUAAGAAAAAAGACGAGAAGACCCUAGGAGUUUUUACUAAUGGUCAAUUUAAGUUGCUUCUGGUUUUUGUUGGGGCGACAUAGGAACAAACAACUUCCUUAUUUUAUAGGCCGACUACGUAUGAAUAAUAAAACUACCCUAGGGAUAACAGCGUAAUUCUUUAUGGAGCUUGCGACCUCGAUGUUGGACUAGGAAUUUGAUUGGCUAGCCGCCACUUUAUAUUGUUCUGUUCGAACUUAAUUUCCUACAU
RNAcentral lists this ribosomal RNA (433 nucleotides) under Elysia setoensis. Its description in RNAcentral is "partial 16S ribosomal RNA". It matches the Rfam family "Bacterial large subunit ribosomal RNA", at positions 1834 to 2601 of the family's 2925-position model. Lineage: Eukaryota; Metazoa; Mollusca; Gastropoda; Plakobranchidae. The record is from RNAcentral.